This 265-nucleotide ribosomal RNA is filed under the name uncultured Leuconostoc sp. RNAcentral describes it as "partial 16S ribosomal RNA". It matches the Rfam family "Bacterial small subunit ribosomal RNA", at positions 79 to 339 of the family's 1533-position model. Lineage: Bacteria; Bacillati; Bacillota; Bacilli; Lactobacillales; Lactobacillaceae. The record is from RNAcentral.
AUGGACAUUGCAAAGAGUGGCGAACGGGUGAGUGACACGUGGGAAACCUACCUCUUAGCAGGGGAUAACAUUUGGAAACAGAUGCUAAUACCGAAUAAAACUUAGUAUCGCAUGAUAUCAAGUUAAAAGGCGCUACGGCGUCACCUAGAGAUGGAUCCGCGGUGCAUUAGUUAGUUGGUAAGGUAAUGGCUUACCAAGGCAAUGAUGCAUAGCCGAGUUGAGAGACUGAUCGGCCACAAUGGGACUGAGACACGGCCCAUACUCC